RNAcentral lists this ribosomal RNA (753 nucleotides) under uncultured microorganism. RNAcentral describes it as "bacterial SSU rRNA". It matches the Rfam family "Bacterial small subunit ribosomal RNA", at positions 61 to 837 of the family's 1533-position model. The record is from RNAcentral.
GUCGAACGUGAUUUUCUUCGGAAAUGAAAGUGGCGCACGGGUGAGUAACACGUAGCUUACCUGCCCCGAACACCGGGAUGACGGAUCGAAAGGUCUGCUAAUACCGGAUAAGCUCACAAUGAACAGACAGUCGUGAGAAAAGUUCAGGCGGUUCGGGAGGGGGCUGCGGCCCAUCAGCUAGCUGGCGAGGUAACGGCUCACCAGGGCGACGACGGGUAGGGGACCUGAGAGGGUGAACCCCCACACUGGAACUGAGACACGGUCCAGACUCCUACGGGAGGCAGCAGUGAGGAAUAUUGCUCAAUGGGCGCAAGCCUGAAGCAGCGACGCCGCGUGGGCGACGAAGGUUUUCGGAUCGUAAAGCCCUUUUCUCUGGGACGAGACAGGACGGUACCAGAGGAAAAAGUGUCGGCUAACUACGUGCCAGCAGCCGCGGUAAAACGUAGGACGCAAGCGUUAUCCGGAAUUACUGGGCGUAAAGCGCGUGUAGGCGGAUGGUUAAGUUACUGGUGAAAGCGCCGGGCUAAACUCGGCGAGGUCCGGUAAGACUGGUCAUCUAGAGGGGGUCAGAGGGGUGCGGAAUUCCGGGUGUAGUGGUGAAAUGCGUAGAGAUCCGGAGGAACACCAGAGGCGAAGGCGGCACCCUGGGACCAACCUGACGCUGAGACGCGAAAGCAUGGGGAGCGAACGGGAUUAGAGACCCCGGUAGUCCAUGUCGUAAACGAUGUAGACUAGAUGUGCGGUUCACUACGG